This 226-nucleotide ribosomal RNA is filed under the name uncultured bacterium. RNAcentral's name for it is "partial 16S ribosomal RNA". It matches the Rfam family "Bacterial small subunit ribosomal RNA", at positions 1275 to 1500 of the family's 1533-position model. The record is from RNAcentral.
CAAAACUACGGUCUCAGUUCAGAUUGCAGGCUGCAACUCGCCUGCAUGAAGUUGGAAUUGCUAGUAAUCGCGAAUCAGAAUGUCGCGGUGAAUACGUUCCCGGGUCUUGUACACACCGCCCGUCACACCAUGGGAGUCGGGAAUGCCCGAAGUCAGUGGCCCAACCGGAAGGGGGGAGCUGCCGAAGGCAGGCCCGGUGACUGGGGUGAAGUCGUAACAAGGUAGC